GUACAUAUAGUUUAACAAAAACACCAGGCUGUGACUCUGGAGAUAGAAGCACUAAACUUCUUAUGCACC
Molecule: transfer RNA, 69 nt
Filed under: Blanus cinereus (Mediterranean worm lizard)
Lineage: Eukaryota; Metazoa; Chordata; Lepidosauria; Squamata; Blanidae
Description: tRNA-His
Rfam family: tRNA
About the family: Transfer RNA (tRNA) molecules are approximately 80 nucleotides in length.
Source: RNAcentral